This 1379-nucleotide ribosomal RNA is filed under the name uncultured bacterium. Its description in RNAcentral is "16S ribosomal RNA". It matches the Rfam family "Bacterial small subunit ribosomal RNA". The record is from RNAcentral.
UUCGCCCUUAGAGUUUGAUCCUGGCUCAGGACGAACGCUGGCGGCGCGCCUAACACAUGCAAGUCGAACGAGCGAGAGAGAGCUUGCUUUCUCGAGCGAGUGGCGAACGGGUGAGUAACGCGUGAGGAACCUGCCUCAAAGAGGGGGACAACAGUUGGAAACGACUGCUAAUACCGCAUAAGCCCACAGGUCGGCAUCGACCAGUGGGAAAAGGAGCAAUCCGCUUUGAGAUGGCCUCGCGUCCGAUUAGCUAGAUGGUGAGGUAAUGGCCCACCAAGGCGACGAUCGGUAGCCGGACUGAGAGGUUGAACGGCCACAUUGGGACUGAGACACGGCCCAGACUCCUACGGGAGGCAGCAGUGGGGAAUAUUGCACAAUGGGGGAAACCCUGAUGCAGCGACGCCGCGUGGAGGAAGAAGGUCUUCGGAUUGUAAACUCCUGUUGUUGAGGAAGAUAAUGACGGUACUCAACAAGGAAGUGACGGCUAACUACGUGCCAGCAGCCGCGGUAAAACGUAGGUCACAAGCGUUGUCCGGAAUUACUGGGUGUAAAGGGAGCGCAGGCGGGAAGACAAGUUGGAAGUGAAAUCUAUGGGCUCAACCCAUAAACUGCUUUCAAAACUGUUUUUCUUGAGUAGUGCAGAGGUAGGCGGAAUUCCCGGUGUAGCGGUGGAAUGCGUAGAUAUCGGGAGGAACACCAGUGGCGAAGGCGGCCUACUGGGCACCAACUGACGCUGAGGCUCGAAAGUGUGGGUAGCAAACAGGAUUAGAUACCCUGGUAGUCCACACCGUAAACGAUGAUUACUAGGUGUUGGAGGAUUGACCCCUUCAGUGCCGCAGUUAACACAAUAAAGUAAUCCACCUGGGGAGUACGACCGCAAGGUUGAAACUCAAAGGAAUUGACGGGGGCCCGCACAAGCAGUGGAGUAUGUGGUUUAAUUCGACGCAACGCGAAGAACCUUACCAAGUCUUGACAUCCUGCGACGAUGCUGGAAACAGUAUUUUCCUUCGGGACGCAGAGACAGGUGGUGCAUGGCUGUCGUCAGCUCGUGUCGUGAGAUGUUGGGUUAAGUCCCGCAACGAGCGCAACCCUUACUGUCAGUUGCUACGCAAGAGCACUCUAGCAGGACUGCCGUUGACAAAACGGAGGAAGGUGGGGAUGACGUCAAAUCAUCAUGCCCCUUAUGACCUGGGCCUCACACGUACUACAAUGGCUGUUAACAGAGGGAUGCAAAGCCGCGAGGUGGAGCGAACCCCUAAAAGCAGUCUUAGUUCGGAUUGUAGGCUGCAACCCGCCUACAUGAAGUCGGAAUUGCUAGUAAUCGCGGAUCAGCAUGCCGCGGUGAAUGCGUUCCCGGGCCUUGCACUCACCGCCCGUCA